GGUAGUUAACUUAACCAAGAAGACUUCACAUCUCAGCUAGCGAGCAAGCUAACCAAUUCUACACACUCAAUGCAAUCAGCUGUAACCUGAGUAAUGCCUGGAUUAGAAAGGAAGUCAGCUCCGUGUAUGCAUUUAAAAUAUAAAGACUAAAGAUCACACAGAUCGAUAAAAAUUGCUGGUCUUAAAAAUUAGUUUGUUGAAGUAUGAAAAUAUCGCUUUAAAAUAUGUUUUAAGAAAGAGGUUUCUGAACAAUAUGCUACAGUUGUUUACGACCUCAGCCUUUGGUCUCUGUGGUCACAGGUGGAUACUUAAAUGUGACCUUAUCAUGCAUAUCUAACUGGAAAAUCUUACAAAAGUCACUUUUAUAAAUAUUGGAUAUGAGUUGAUAUACAUGUACAAAUCAUAAAAAUAAAUGCUAACAUGAAUUUCAAAAGAUUAGGUGAUUUCUUGAUUGUUGAUGAAUUGAAAAGCUCCACAAAAUAAUGAUACAAUUAUUAAAAUAUAUUAAUCUUAUAAUUUUGUAAGCAACAAUAAAAGUAUUAGGUUCAUUAGAUCAAAGGGUGUCUUUAUUUAAAUCCAUCAACUUUUAAUAAAAAACAAAACAAUGACAAUGGGUAAAUCUCUACUAUGGAUAGGAGUUGAAGUGAAAAUGUAAAAGAAAUUCUGAAAUUGGCUGUAAACACGGUUUACCCGUUCUCAAUGUGCCACUUGCUGGUACCAUGUGUAUUUAAACAGAAUAGCUUUAAGAAAAAGGGGCCCUAAAUUGGUUUCAAUGGAACAAUUCUCAGAUAAAAGGGCCAUUGACUAGUUUCAAUGGUAAGCCCUCAAAUAUAGUCCUAAACUGAUCAAAUUGAAACUGCCCUCAGAUUUAGAGUCCUAAACGCGUUUCAAUCAAACAGCCCUCAGAUAUAAGGCCCUUAACUGGUUAAAAUGAAACAGACCUCAGAUCAAGGGCCCUAAUCAGAUUUGAAUAUAAUAUUUGUAUUUGAAUCAGUAGUGUAUAUAUUACGUCUGAACAAAACAAAGUAAUAAUAUAUUGUAAAUGUUUUCUUCAAAGAUCGCAAAUGAAGGAAGAAAUUGGUGUUUUACCCAUCAUGCAGUAUAAAUGCAUCAGAAACACACUGAAGAAGUAACCUGCUACUUACUUAAUCAAUUUAUAUUUAAAACAAUUUUUCCCAUUAAAAUGCAAUUUAUGACCCUCUUCAAAAAAUAAUUACAUGUACUGCAAAAUUCAGAAAUUAUUGGGAUGUUUUUAUAAUUGCAAAAAAUGCAACAGGGUUAUAAUCGCAAUAAUUCAAUCACAAAUUUUUGACAGGAUUUUCUCAAUAUCUCAAAAAUUAAAAUUGCAUUUUAACAAAAUCGCAAUAAUAAAUGCAUGCCAUUCUUUCUGAAUUUACUGUAACAGAAUAUAUUAUACAGAUAACAUAGGAAAUAUUUGAGUGUUACUCCAUCGGUAACGGAGGGAUGCAUGAAUAAAGUUAGUAAGCCAAUUGUAUAAGUAAGAUGAUUGUUUACAUGGCUAAACUAUUUAGUUGAAUCAUUAUAUUAGUUCUCUGAUAACAAUUAUAUUGUGCUUUUUAUUUAUAAAUAUAUAUACCAAUAUGACAGGGUAAAUUAAAUUUUAAAAUAACCUGAUAAUUUCUUAUAUGAAUACUUGAAUAUGCAUGAGCAUAUUGGUUAAGAACAUGAAUAUUCAUGAGUUAAUAAUAAAUAAUUAAAUCUUUGGCAAAUUAAAAUAAUAUGUAUGAGAUUAAAAAAAAAACAAAGAUCCAUGAAGGAAUGAGAUAAAUACAUAUUGAGAUACAUUGGCAGUUAUUAUUUUUUUAAAAGCACAGAAUUACCAUUUAUGA
This 1850-nucleotide long non-coding RNA is filed under the name Mytilus galloprovincialis (Mediterranean mussel). The record is from RNAcentral. Lineage: Eukaryota; Metazoa; Mollusca; Bivalvia; Mytilida; Mytilidae.